AUACGGAGGGUGCGAGCGUUAAUCGGAAUUACUGGGCGUAAAGCGUACGUAGGCGGUUGGUUAAGUUAGAUGUGAAAGCCCCGGGCUUAACCUGGGAACCGCAUUUAAAACUGGCGAACUAGAGUUGAGUAGAGGGGAGUGGAAUUUCAGGUGUAGCGGUGAAAUGCGUAGAGAUCUGAAGGAACACCAGUGGCGAAGGCGACUCCCUGGACUCGAACUGACGCUGAGGUACGAAAGCGUGGGUAGCAAACGGGAUUAGAAACCCUAGUAGUCC
This 274-nucleotide ribosomal RNA is filed under the name uncultured bacterium. RNAcentral's name for it is "partial 16S ribosomal RNA". It matches the Rfam family "Bacterial small subunit ribosomal RNA", at positions 523 to 796 of the family's 1533-position model. The record is from RNAcentral.